This 250-nucleotide long non-coding RNA is filed under the name Vigna radiata. RNAcentral's name for it is "long non-coding RNA (VRAD_LNC004719)". The record is from RNAcentral. Lineage: Eukaryota; Viridiplantae; Streptophyta; Magnoliopsida; Fabales; Fabaceae.
GCGGGAACCUCCUAUGAGAAGCAUGACCGUGCAAAGAAAGUCUUUCAACCGCCCAAGCCUUACAAUAUCAAAAUAAAUAUUGAGCCAAAUUUCACAAUGUUUUAUAUUCCAUUCAGUUAAUCAAUUAUAAAUCAUGUUACCUGCAACACGGCCACAUUGCCAUUAAGACUGAGUGACUGGGCGAUUCCUCCAGACAUUAUUUUCUUCAUACAUUUAUUUAAAUUAUGUACAAUAUGUUUAUGUACACCAG